This 899-nucleotide long non-coding RNA is filed under the name Pan troglodytes (chimpanzee). Its description in RNAcentral is "long non-coding RNA NONPTRT003739". Lineage: Eukaryota; Metazoa; Chordata; Mammalia; Primates; Hominidae. The record is from RNAcentral.
UAUAAAUAGAAAAGGAGAACAGAACAAAGUUUGAGGAGAGAGACUUACAUCACUCACUCCCCCUCCACCCAGAGAGCAGGACGGAGGUGUGAACUUGAGCCAGACCAGAAGGAGCUCGACAGCGGCCACAGGACAAGCCCGAGGAGCAGGCGGGCGCUCCAGGGAAAAACCACGCACAAAACCUUCUUCAGAGAAAAGGGAAGCUCCAAACCUGACUGAGACAAACGGAGGCUCUUGAAAUAAAAAGAAAAUACCGCAGGACAAACAGCCUCCCGUCUCCGGGCGCAGGUCGUGGUCACAGUGGUGACCUGGGAUUGCUUUCCCAGGACUGCGAGUCGGGCUUGGGUUUCUCCUCCCUGCAUUCCACAGCUGCUCUGGUCAUCGCAACGUGUUUAUUGAUCACUGAAGAAUCUCAAGUUUUGAGACGAGGAAGAAACACCCAUUAGGUCUCCAAGACAGCUGUGUUUCACAAACUUUAAGGAGACAGAAAUUUUCUCCCCUGGAACCUGUGAAAAUGUCCCUUUUCCAAGGAAGUGAAGGUUAAGAGGUCUCGUUCUCACAGACCCUCAGGAAUUUCGCUUGGCUCCGAGCUUUGACCUCCGAGAGAGCCAUGGAAAAGCUGCUGCGGCUGUGCUGCUGGUGCUCCUGGCUGCUGCUAUUUUAUUACAACUUUCAGGUGCGUGGCGUCUACUCCAGAUCGCAGGACCAUCCAGAAUAAUGGUGAAGGUGGACACAUUUGCUGAAUAUUUAGGUGUCCUCCAUGAACAAGACAUCCUGCUGCCUGCCUGCCUUCCCUUCCUCCUCACUGUUCCCCUCCUCCCCUUCUCCUGCCUUCUCUCUCACUUUGUUUCCUGUCUCAUUUUCUUUUUUCCAUUUCCCUCCCUCAUUUCCUUCCCUCC